This 441-nucleotide ribosomal RNA is filed under the name uncultured bacterium. RNAcentral's name for it is "partial 16S ribosomal RNA". It matches the Rfam family "Bacterial small subunit ribosomal RNA", at positions 338 to 795 of the family's 1533-position model. The record is from RNAcentral.
CCUACGGGCGGCAGCAGUGGGGAAUAUUGCACAAUGGGGGAAACCCUGAUGCAGCAACGCCGCGUGAAGGAAGACGGUUCUCGGAUUGUAAACCUCUGUUUUUAGUGAAGUAUAAUGACGGUCGCUAAGGAGCAAGCCACGGCUAACUACGUGCCAGCAGCCGCGGUAAUACGUAGGUGGCAAGCGUUGUCCGGAGUUACUGGGUGUAAAGGGAGCGCAGGAGGGAAGACAAGUCAGCUGUGAAAACUACGGGCUUAACUUGUAGACUGCAGUUGAAACUGGCUUUUUUGAGUGAAGUAGAGGUUGGCGGAAUUCCGGGUGUAGCGGUGAAAUGCGUAGAUAUUCCGAGGAACACCGGUUGCGAAGGCGGCCAACUGGGCUUUAACUGACGCUGAGGCUCGAAAGUGUGGGGAUCAAACAGGAUUAGAUACCCCUGUAGUC